Molecule: ribosomal RNA, 492 nt
Filed under: uncultured bacterium
Lineage: Bacteria
Description: partial 16S ribosomal RNA
Rfam family: Bacterial small subunit ribosomal RNA
Source: RNAcentral
AGUGAACGCUGGCGGUAGGCCUAACACAUGCAAGUCGAACGGCAGCACAGUAAGAGCUUGCUCUUACGGGUGGCGAGUGGCGGACGGGUGAGGAAUACAUCGGAAUCUACUUUUUCGUGGGGGAUAACGUAGGGAAACUUACGCUAAUACCGCAUACGACCUACGGGUGAAAGCAGGGGAUCUUCGGACCUUGCGCGAUUGAAUGAGCCGAUGUCGGAUUAGCUAGUUGGCGGGGUAAAGGCCCACCAAGGCGACGAUCCGUAGCUGGUCUGAGAGGAUGAUCAGCCACACUGGAACUGAGACACGGUCCAGACUCCUACGGGAGGCAGCAGUGGGGAAUAUUGGACAAAGGGCGCAAGCCUGAUCCAGCCAUACCGCGUGGGUGAAGAAGGCCGUCGGGUUGUAAAGCCCUUUUGUUGGGAAAGAAAAGCAGCAGGUUAAUACCCCGCUGUUCUGACGGUACCCAAAGAAUAAGCACCGGCUAACUUCGUG